AAUGAACGUUGGCGGCGUGGAUUAGGCAUGCAAGUCGAGCGAGAAGUUUUCCUUCGGGAGAAUGGACAGCGGCGAACGGGAGAGUAACGAGUGGAGUACCUACCCCGGGACCCGGGAUAGCCGUGGGAAACUGCGGGUAAUACCGGAUAACGUCUCCGGACCAAAGGUGUGAUUCCGUCUUGGGAUGGCUCCGCUUCCUAUUAGCUUGUUGGUGAGGUAACGGCUCACCAAGGCAACGAUGGGUACCGGGUGUGAGAGCAUGACCCGGCUCACUGGGACUGAGACACUGCCCAGACACCUACGGGUGGCUGCAGUCGAGAAUCUUCGGCAAUGGACGCAAGUCCGACCGAGCGACGCCGCGUGCGGGAUGAAGGCCCUCGGGUUGUAAACCGCUGUCAGAGGGGAUGAAAUGCCAGGUGGCAAUCCACCUGGUUUGACAAAUCCUCAGAGGAAGGACGGCUAAGUU
RNAcentral lists this ribosomal RNA (466 nucleotides) under uncultured bacterium. RNAcentral describes it as "bacterial SSU rRNA". It matches the Rfam family "Bacterial small subunit ribosomal RNA", at positions 29 to 503 of the family's 1533-position model. The record is from RNAcentral.